This 252-nucleotide ribosomal RNA is filed under the name uncultured bacterium. RNAcentral's name for it is "partial 16S ribosomal RNA". It matches the Rfam family "Bacterial small subunit ribosomal RNA", at positions 524 to 776 of the family's 1533-position model. The record is from RNAcentral.
UACGGGGGGGCAAGCGUUGUUCGGAAUUACUGGGCGUAAAGGGCUCGUAGGUGGCCAACUAAGUCAGACGUGAAAUCCCUCAGCUUAACUGGGGAACUGCGUCUGAUACUGGAUGGCUUGAGUUCGGGAGAGGGAUGCGGAAUUCCAGGUGUAGCGGUGAAAUGCGUAGAUAUCUGGAGGAACACCGGUGGCGAAGGCGGCAUCCUGGACCGACACUGACACUGAGGAGCGAAAGCCAGGGGAGCAAACGGG